Molecule: long non-coding RNA, 220 nt
Filed under: Lathyrus oleraceus (garden pea)
Lineage: Eukaryota; Viridiplantae; Streptophyta; Magnoliopsida; Fabales; Fabaceae
Description: Pisum sativum (pea) long non-coding RNA (PSAT_LNC010869)
Source: RNAcentral
UGGCACCGGCCCUGGUCUAUUUUUUGUUUUACUUGACAAUGCCUCAUGCGGGCCUUCUGCAGGUCUGGGUGCAAUUUUUUUUGCACCCCCAAUUUACAGUUUUGUAUGCUUUUCUUUUUUCUUUUAUUAUUUAUUGUUUUUUCUUUUAUUUUUAGAAUUAGGACCUUAAACCCAUUUAUCAUCUUUAUUCUCACACUCUUAUAUUGAUAGUGCAUCCUCC